Anas platyrhynchos (mallard) is the source of this 3588-nucleotide non-coding RNA. Lineage: Eukaryota; Metazoa; Chordata; Aves; Anseriformes; Anatidae. The record is from RefSeq and is a predicted model, not a curated record.
UUAAAUCCCAAAGGCUGGAGGACAGCUAACCCACACGCCUACCCUCCUGCAGUGAGGACCAAGAGUGCUCAGGCUGGGAGAGGAGCACCACACACCCCGACACCUUCCCCCUCUGCCCCAGAGGAGGUUUGCCCAGAGGAGAGAACAAAAGGAGGAGGAGGUGCCACCAGCUGAAUGACUUGGCUUUGCACCUGGCUGCAUCUUCCACCCACCUCACUUACCCUUGAAGAUGUGGGUGGCCCAGCGACACUGGAGCUCUGAGAUGGGCAUGAUGGCUCCCAGGGGCUGGAUGAAGCCGAUGAAAGCCAGCGUGGGCUUCUCCAGGUCGACAGGGAACAUGAAUUUGUAGAGAGGGGCCUGGUUCUCCACCACCUUCACGCACUCCUCGAGGAAGGGGAAGGAGAAGCUGUACCCCGUGGCAAAGACCACGGCGUCAAUGUCUUCCCUGGUGCCGUCCUCGAAGAUGGCAGAUGUCUCCGUGAACUCCUGGAUGUUGGGCUUCACCCGCACCCUGCCCGAAAUGAUGCGGUUGGGCAGGUCGUCGUUGAUGGUCGCAUGCUGACUGAGGGCCCUGGAGGACACAAACAGAGCUCGUGGGGCCAGGCUGGGGACACCAGCAGGUCCCCGCGGCACUGCCUGGGUGCUCACCGGUGCUGGGGCUGCAGGCCGUAGAGCGAGUGGUCAAAGCGGGCGUUGAGCUUCCUCUCUAGCACAAAGUUGCUCACGGAGAGGGGCAGCAGGCUCCGGAUGAUCUGGAUGAAGCGGCUGAGGUAGGAGAAGUCGAAGGGGUAGCCACCUUCUGCCACCCGGUGCAUCACCCAGGCCCCGCGCUUGGUGCUGAGGAAGACCUGGGAGGAAGGAGAAAGGAGGCAGCGGUGUCGAGCCACGUCCCACUGCGGUCCCAUUCAGCUCCACCGCGAUAUCGAUGCCCGAAUUCCCGGUGCCGACCACCACGACCUGCUUCCCCGUGAAGGCCCGCGGGCUCUUGUAGUCCCGGCUGUGCAAGUACCAGCCCUCAAAACUCUCCAGCCCUGCAAGAAAAGAGCAAAGCCGUGCCGGGUGCGGGUGGCUUCAGGAGAGGAACUUAAUGGCCACGAGCAGCCCCACCUGGCCCCAAUCAUUCCUCACACCCCCAGCACUAUUUAAGCACUGCUCAGAGCCCUCACUCACUGCCUGCGGUGCCUGCGGCCUCGCCACCAUCAAUUUCCUGAUUAUCUGUGCUCUUGGCUCAUUUUACAAGGUACAGUGGGAUCAGCGCUGGCUGGCAGAGUCCCUGGCAGCUCUGCUGUUGCCCUCUACUCCCCCGCAAUGCCUUCCUCCUGAGAGGGCAGAAAGGGAUUGCUGAAGCCCUGUUCCUUGCCUGCCGCCCAGUGGAAGGAGCAGCCUCACCUUCAGGAGGGUUUUGGGGAACGCAGGCGGGGAUCUGAGCAGCCCUGGGCUGGGUGAGGGUCACGGCUUUCCCCUAACCCCCCAGCGAGGCGAUUCCCGCAGCAAGGGGGAAUGUUUUAAGGCCCCAGGAGAGGGUGAGGCAGGAGCUGGACUCCUGGUGGUCCUCUCCUGCCAAGAAAAACUGGAAGAAAAGGUUGCCAGGAUGAAUGAUGGCAGUGCAGGGGAGCCGUGGCAGUGGUACAGCUCCACGUUGUUGCCCCCGGGUGACUGAAAAUCCCGCGGAGGGGGGAAAAAAAUGGCCCAAACCCCUGGCUGCCCCCUUCCCUUCCCCGCAGCACUGGGAGCCAGGUGCCCGUGUCCCUGUUGGCCUUGGUGCAGCGCCUAAACCAGGGGUGAUAGGAAGGAGACGCAUUGCUCAGCAGGCAGAGCUCUUUAUAAACCCGAGGACAGGCCCCAGCAGCAGCAUCACCUGUAUUUACAGCGCACAGCUAACAUGGGCAGCUGCAGGGAAACCUCUGCGAAGCCCCAGCUAUUCCACCCACUGCUGGCUAACACAGCAGGUGCCCGGCGAGGGCACCCUGAUUCACAGAUCAGCAGCGAGCUGCCAGGGGGUGCACUGACCCCUCCCCGGGCUCUGCGUUGUGCCUGGCAGCCCCGCAGCAGGGCGAGACAGCACCUACCCACAGGCCUGGGAGCCUGCAGCGUUGCUAGUGUGAAAUUUUGGCUGGAAAAUCUCAGUUCGAGUCCCGGUAGCCCCCUUUCUCUCUGUGCGUGUGUAUGGAGAGAACGGGGUGUGAGCCUCCUCCUCCGGGAGGCUCUCAGUGGGUCCAGAGAGCAAAGAGGGCAGGCGCGUUGAGCGGGGAGAGCCAGCAGUACUCCACCACGCUGUAGAGCCCGUAGCCCAGCAGCAAGCCGAAGAGCACGUCCGUCACGUUGUGCCUGCCCAGCAUCACCCUGGAGACGCCGACGACGAGGGCCCAGAGCACCACCAGCACCCGCAGCGGCACGGCGAGCACCAGGUGGUGCAGCACGAAGCGGCACACCAGGGCGGCGCGGGUGGCGUGGCCCGAGGGGAAGGAGUACUUGUCCACCGAGACGGUGACGAACAUGUCCAUCUUGUUGUGCGUGGGCCGCGGCCGCCGCACGAUGCCUUUCACCACCGCCACCAGCACCAGGUCCAGCAGCAAGGCUAGGAGGAGGAAGAGGAGGGAGAAAUUUAUUGGUGUAAAACCCAGCAUUCGCAGCUCAGGGCUCAAAUCCUGCCUUGUUUUGAAAGCCCCGGCAGGGUUAACAUUCCCUGCCUGCCUCUGCUGACUCAGCAGGGCUCUGCACGCCCUGCUUUGACCCAGGUAAAUGAUCAAUCCACCUCAGCUGCCCCUUGGUGUGAGGGGGGUGCCUGUGUCCUCGGUGGGUCUGGGGGCUUGCAGCUCCACAUCUGGCUUCUCCCUGCUGCUGGGGGCCCCAGUGUACAAGUUAAACACCCCGUUUUUAAGAGCUGAGUAAAGGGUGAACUAAACAACAGCAGCUUGCUCCCAGGAGUCUAAAGGCUGCUGUGGCAGAAGUCAGAGGUGAAGUGUCUGAGAAAUGCUCCGUCAGGACUUGGCAAGAGCAGCUGCUCGCACCAGGCAGCACUUUCGCUACCUCGGCCCAGCUCGUGGUGCUGGCAGGAGCUGCUUCUUCCAGGGAAAUCUUGUCUGAGAGACUGAUUUCUGCCCUACGGCCUGUGCCUGGGCACAAAGUCCUUCCUUCGGUCACUUUAGUUUACUCCCUUUGGUUAAUCAUUUAAGAACAAAUCUAAUUUGUGUUUUGUUUUGUUUUUUCUUAGAAGUAAACCUAGUUCAAUCACUUAUUUUGAGAGAUUCAGCUCAUUCCCCACAUGGGUGCUGCAGGACCCCAAGAUCAGUGCCUGCAGCGACCCCACGGGCACAGUGUUUGGAAACUGGAGCUGCCACCCAGGUGCCACAUGGACACAGGUUUUUGGAAGCCGGAGCAGCCACCCAGGUGCCGCAUGGGCACAAUGUCUGGAAGCCGGAGCAGCCACCCAGGUACUGCAGCUCCGGGCAGACGUGCCAGCUGCUGGGAACCAGACGGCUCCCCCCCGGGGCUGUGACACCCAGCUUUCCUCAGCCCUUCCCCAUCCCUCGGGCCCCAUCCUCCCGCCGUGGCGGCCCCCUCCCGGCCUCACCGAAGAGCAGGUUG